CGCCUAUAUACUUGGACUUCCCCUGAC
Molecule: small RNA, 27 nt
Filed under: Bombyx mori (domestic silkworm)
Lineage: Eukaryota; Metazoa; Arthropoda; Insecta; Lepidoptera; Bombycidae
Description: ovarian small RNA-14366
Source: RNAcentral